UGCAUGUCUCAGUGCAAGCCACAUUAAGGUGAAACCGCGAAUGGCUCAUUAAAUCAGUUAUGGUUCCUUAGAUCGUACCCACAUUACUUGGAUAACUGUGGUAAUUCUAGAGCUAAUACAUGCAAACAGAGCUCCGACCAGAAAUGGAAGGAGCGCUUUUAUUAGAUCAAAACCAAUCGGUCGGCCUGUCCGAUCCGUUUGCCUUGGUGACUCUGAAUAACUUUUGGCUGAUCGCACGGUCUUCGUACCGGCGACGCAUCUUUCAAAUGUCUGCCUUAUCAACUUACGAUGGUAGGUUCUGCGCCUACCAUGGUUGUAACGGGUAACGGGGAAUCAGGGUUCGAUUCCGGAGAGGGAGCCUGAGAAACGGCUACCACAUCCAAGGAAGGCAGCAGGCGCGCAAAUUACCCACUCCCGGCACGGGGAGGUAGUGACGAAAAAUAACGAUACGGGACUCAUCCGAGGCCCCGUAAUCGGAAUGAGUACACUUUAAAUCCUUUAACGAGUAUCC
This 511-nucleotide ribosomal RNA is filed under the name Rhaphidophora sp. CELG2. RNAcentral describes it as "SSU rRNA". It matches the Rfam family "Eukaryotic small subunit ribosomal RNA", at positions 52 to 546 of the family's 1831-position model. Lineage: Eukaryota; Metazoa; Arthropoda; Insecta; Orthoptera; Rhaphidophoridae. The record is from RNAcentral.